GCCAUACUCAAACUCUUUCUCAAAGUCUUUUCAUUAGGUUUUGUUACUCUCUUUCUAUCUACCUCAAUCUUUUUCCUCUUUCUCCAACUCACGGGCGAUUUGAAAUCUGCGCCAGCUUCCAUCUUCAUCCAUCUUCAACCUCUCCAUCUUCUAUCUUCAACCUCUGCAUGGCUCGUCCGAUGGGAAAAAUUAAGGACAUCAACGAUUCUGAAUCACGGGUGAGGACUUUUUUCCAGAUCCGACCCUUUUAUGGGAUUAGGGUUUCAGGAGAUCUCGGACGCAAGUUCUUUUCCAAUAUGAAUUUUGUAGAAAGUGGCAGUUUAAGUCGGUGAUGCAGCC
Molecule: long non-coding RNA, 339 nt
Organism: Vicia villosa (hairy vetch)
Lineage: Eukaryota; Viridiplantae; Streptophyta; Magnoliopsida; Fabales; Fabaceae
Exons: 3
Source: RefSeq, a predicted model, not a curated record